RNAcentral lists this ribosomal RNA (564 nucleotides) under Meleagris gallopavo (turkey). RNAcentral's name for it is "partial 16S ribosomal RNA". The record is from RNAcentral. Lineage: Eukaryota; Metazoa; Chordata; Aves; Galliformes; Phasianidae.
GUUACCUGCUAAAUGAAUUUAAGUUCCUCCUUAACCCAUUCACCAAGGACAUUCACCCAACCCUGCUCAUGUUAGGGUUAAGAGCAACUCGACGGGGGUACAGCCCCCUCGAAAAAGAAUACAACCUCCCCCAGCGGAUAAUAACACUUUCUCCACCUAUCGUAGGCCCUAAAGCAGCCAUCAACAAAAGAGUGCGUCAAAGCUCCACCAAUAAAAAUCUAGAACCCUAUUCGACUCCCUCACCUAAAGCAGGUUAACCUAUGAAAAUAGAAGAAUUUAUGCUAAAAUGAGUAACUAGGAACCCUCCUUCACACAGCGUAAACUUACAUUAAUAUAUUAUUAACAGAACUCAACUUAUAUACGCACUUCAACAAGACUUCAUAUUUAAGCCUAAACCUGUUAAGCCAACUCAGGGACGCUUACAUAAACGAUUAAAACUUACAGAAGGAACUCGGCAAAUUAAAGACCCGACUGUUUACCAAAAACAUAGCCUUCAGCGAACAACAAGUAUUGAAGGUGAUGCCUGCCCAGUGACCCCCAAAGUUCAACGGCCGCGGUAUCCUA